RNAcentral lists this long non-coding RNA (203 nucleotides) under Carica papaya (papaya). Its description in RNAcentral is "long non-coding RNA (CPAP_LNC002879)". Lineage: Eukaryota; Viridiplantae; Streptophyta; Magnoliopsida; Brassicales; Caricaceae. The record is from RNAcentral.
CCUCUGGUUGCCCUAAUUUUUUUUUUCUUUUUCUGUCACCAAAACGGCAUCGUUUUGAUGAUCUCAAAACAACAUCAUUUCACAUGCCUGUAUUUUUCCUUCCUUCAUGUCAAAUCGGCAUCGUUUUUGGGGUUUCCCAAAAUGACAUCGUUUUGGCUCUUCCUGAUUCUAAAAAGCAGGUGAGCUGGGCUUGUUUCUCUCGG